This 90-nucleotide transfer RNA is filed under the name Candidatus Uhrbacteria bacterium CG22_combo_CG10-13_8_21_14_all_47_17. RNAcentral's name for it is "tRNA-Ser". It matches the Rfam family "tRNA". From Rfam's summary of the family: Transfer RNA (tRNA) molecules are approximately 80 nucleotides in length. Their secondary structure includes four short double-helical elements and three loops (D, anti-codon, and T loops). Further hydrogen bonds mediate the characteristic L-shaped molecular structure. tRNAs have two regions of fundamental functional importance: the anti-codon, which is responsible for specific mRNA codon recognition, and the 3' end, to which the tRNAs corresponding amino acid is attached (by aminoacyl-tRNA synthetases). tRNAs cope with the degeneracy of the genetic code in two manners: having more than one tRNA (with a specific anti-codon) for a particular amino acid; and 'wobble' base-pairing, i.e. permitting non-standard base-pairing at the 3rd anti-codon position. Lineage: Bacteria; Candidatus Uhriibacteriota. The record is from RNAcentral.
GGAGAGGUGACAGAGUGGUCGAAUGUGCCAGACUCGAAAUCUGGUGUACCUUUACCGGUACCGUGGGUUCGAAUCCCACCCUCUCCGCCA